Molecule: long non-coding RNA, 1248 nt
Filed under: Brassica napus (rape)
Lineage: Eukaryota; Viridiplantae; Streptophyta; Magnoliopsida; Brassicales; Brassicaceae
Description: long non-coding RNA (BNAP_LNC005727)
Source: RNAcentral
AUAUUUUAAGCCAAUGAGUCUCUCCAUUCUGCAUCAUAAUUAUAAUAAGUAGAUAUUAUUAGUUUACUUCGCAAGCAAUAAAUCAUGUAUAUUUGUAUGGGUGAAUUUGCUGAAUAUUCUUAAGAGGCAAGAAAAUGAAGAAUAUAGCCAUUAUACUCUAAUUCAAGAUGGAUUGGACAAUUUGCGCAAAACAUGACCAAAAUCUCCCUUCAGACGUGUGCGCUUGAUGUUUUAAUGCAUAAGAUAAAAUUAUCAUACUAUUUAGUAUAGGCACACGAAUAAUUUCACUCUAACUAUACUAUAUUUCAUUUAGAAUAGUAUGGCAAUUGAUGUUGGGUACCGACGUAAUGAAACACAACCAAAUAAACCCUAAACCCGCUACCUAAACCCAAACUCUAAACACUAAACCCUAAACCCAUACCCUAAACUCUAAACCCAAACGGUAGACUCUAAAACCCUAAACCCAAACCGUAUACCCUAAACCCAAACCCUAACACAAAUCUUAACCCAAACCGUAGGGAGCUACCAGAACCCUAAACCAUAAACCCAAACCCCAAACACAAAUUUUUAAGCCAUACCCAAACGGAGCUACCUAAACCCUAAAACCCCCUAAACCCAAAUUCUAAACCCUAAACCCAAACCGUAAACCCUUAACCCAAACCCUAAACCCAAAUUGUAAAACCAAACCAUCGCCCAUAAUAGAGCUACCUAAACCCUAACCUUGAAGGUCUAAACCCUAAACCCAAACCGUAGACCCUAAACCCAAACCCUAAACACAAAACCCCCUAAACCCAAACUCCAAACUCUAAACUCUAAACCCAAACCGUAAACCCUUAACCCAAACCCUAAACCCAAAUUGUAAAACCAGACCAUCGCCCAUAACGGAGCUACAUAAACCCUAAUCUUGAAGGUCUAAAAUAUACUAUAUUUCAUUUAGAAUAGUAUGGUAAUUGAUGAUAGUUACUAUAUUGAUGAAUGGAAAAAGGAGGAAAGGAAGUAGGAAUGGAGGGGAGGAGGAGGAAGGAGGAAAGAUAGAAGUAUGGAGGAAAGGAAGUAGGAAUGGAGAGAGAGACAGAGAGAGACCGGGGAAGGGAGGGGAGGAGAGAAACCGACAUAGGAGGAAACUAUACUAUUUUGAUGGCAUGUUCACCAAAGAAGAGAACUUAUAUGCACGCAUGUCCAUGUAUGGGAAAAGGCUGGCAUACGACUAUACUAUAUUCAAUAUAGGCUUUUAUCCAAACAAGCCGA